This 254-nucleotide ribosomal RNA is filed under the name uncultured bacterium. RNAcentral describes it as "partial 16S ribosomal RNA". It matches the Rfam family "Bacterial small subunit ribosomal RNA", at positions 524 to 776 of the family's 1533-position model. The record is from RNAcentral.
UACGUAGGGUCCGAGCGUUGUCCGGAAUUACUGGGCGUAAAGAGCUCGUAGGCGGUUCAGUAAGUCGGGUGUGAAAACUCUGGGUUCAACCCAGAGACGCCACCCGAUACUGCUGUGACUUGAGUACGGUAGGGGAGUGGGGAAUUCCUGGUGUAGCGGUGAAAUGCGCAGAUAUCAGGAGGAACACCAGUGGCGAAGGCGCCACUCUGGGCCGUAACUGACGCUGAGGAGCGAAAGCGUGGGUAGCAAACAGG